Molecule: ribosomal RNA, 1243 nt
Filed under: metagenome
Description: bacterial LSU rRNA
Rfam family: Bacterial large subunit ribosomal RNA
Source: RNAcentral
UGAAUACGAGAUGCUACGGCGUCGAAGCAGUCUAUGUCAUACUUCCAAGAAAAGCUUGCACUGUCAUAAACAAAUAAUGCCUGUACCAUAACCGACACAGGUGGGUAGGUAGAGUAUACUAAGGGGCGCGAGAUAACUCUCUCUAAGGAACUCGGCAAAAUGACUCCGUAACUUCGGGAGAAGGAGUGCCUUAUUUAUAAGGUUGCAAUAACAAGAUCCAAGCAACUGUUUACCAAAAACACAGGUCUCCGCUAAGUCGUAAGACGAUGUAUGGGGGCUGACGCCUGCCCAGUGCCAGAAGGUUAAAGAAGUUGGUUAGCAUCCGCGAAGCUGAUAACUGAAGCCCUGGUGAACGGCGGCCGUAACAAUAACGGUCCUAAGGUAGCGAAAUUCCUUGUCGGGUAAGUUCCGACCCGCACGAAAGGCGUAAUGAUUUGGAUACUGUCUCGGAGAGGGGCUCGGUGAAAUAGACUUGUCUGUGAAGAUGCGGACUACCUGCACCAGGACAGAAAGACCCUAUGAAGCUUUACUGUAACCUGAAAUUGAAAUUGGACUUUACUUGCGCAGUAUAGGUGGGAGGCGUUGAGAAUAUUCUUGCGGGAUUAUUGGAGCCAUCAGUGAGAUACCACUCUUGUAAUGUUAGAUUUCUAACUUUGUAUCAUUAUCUGGUCAAAGAACAGUUUCAGGCGGGCAGUUUGACUGGGGCGGUCGCCUCCUAAACGGUAACGGAGGCGCACAAAGGUUUCCUCUGAACGGGUAGAAAUCGUAUCUAGAGUGUAAAGGCAUAAGGAAGCUUGACUGUGAGACCUACAAGUCGAGCAGGGACGAAAGUCGGUCUUGGUGAUCUGACGGUGCUGAGUGGAAAGGCCGUCACUCAACGGAUAAAAGUUACUCUAGGAUAACAGGCUGAUCUCCCCCAAGAGUUCACAUCGACGGGGAGGUUUGGCACCUCGAUGUCGGCUCAUCGCAUCCUGGGGCGGUAGUACGUCCCAAGGGUUGGGCUGUCCGCCCAUGAAAGCGGUACGCGAGCUGGGUUCAGAACGUCGUGAGACAGUUCGGUCCAUAUCCGGUGUAGGCGUUAGAAUAUUGAGAGGAGCCUUCUUUAGUACGAGAGGACCGAGAAGGACAUACCUCUGGUGUACCAGUUAUCGUGCCAACGGUAAACGCUGGGUAGCUAUGUGUGGAGUGGAUAACCGCUGAAAGCAUCUAAGUGGGAAGCCCACCUCAAGAUAAGUAUUCUCAU